GAGGCAUGCUGGAGGUAUCAGAAGUGCGAAUGCUGACAUAAGUAACGAUAAAGCGGGUGAAAAGCCCGCUCGCCGGAAGACCAAGGGUUCCUGUCCAACGUUAAUCGGGGCAGGGUGAGUCGACCCCUAAGGCGAGGCCGAAAGGCGUAGUCGAUGGGAAACGGGUUAAUAUUCCCGUACUUGGUGUUACUGCGAAGGGGGGACGGAGAAGGCUAUGUUGGCCGGGCGACGGUUGUCCCGGUUUAAGCGUGUAGGUAUGUGUUCCAGGUAAAUCCGGUUCACUUUAACACUGAGGCGUGACGACGAGGCACUACGGUGCUGAAGCAACAAAUGCCCUGCUUCCAGGAAAAGCCUCUAAGCAUCAGGUAACAUCAAAUCGUACCCCAAACCGACACAGGUGGUCAGGUAGAGAAUACCAAGGCGCUUGAGAGAACUCGGGUGAAGGAACUAGGCAAAAUGGUGCCGUAACUUCGGGAGAAGGCACGCUGACACGUAGGUGAAGUGAUUUACUCACGGAGCUGAAGUCAGCCGAAGAUACCAGCUGGCUGCAACUGUUUAUUAAAAACACAGCACUGUGCAAACACGAAAGUGGACGUAUACGGUGUGACGCCUGCCCGGUGCCGGAAGGUUAAUUGAUGGGGUCAGCGCAAGCGAAGCUCCUGAUCGAAGCCCCGGUAAACGGCGGCCGUAACUAUAACGGUCCUAAGGUAGCGAAAUUCCUUGUCGGGUAAGUUCCGACCUGCACGAAUGGCGUAAUGAUGGCCAGGCUGUCUCCACCCGAGACUCAGUGAAAUUGAACUCGCUGUGAAGAUGCAGUGUACCCGCGGCAAGACGGAAAGACCCCGUGAACCUUUACUAUAGCUUGACACUGAACAUUGAGCCUUGAUGUGUAGGAUAGGUGGGAGGCUUUGAAGUGUGGACGCCAGUCUGCAUGGAGCCGACCUUGAAAUACCACCCUUUAAUGUUUGAUGUUCUAACGUGGACCCGUGAUCCGGGUUGCGGACAGUGUCUGGUGGGUAGUUUGACUGGGGCGGUCUCCUCCUAAAGAGUAACGGAGGAGCACGAAGGUUGGCUAAUCCUGGUCGGACAUCAGGAGGUUAGUGCAAUGGCAUAAGCCAGCUUGACUGCGAGCGUGACGGCGCGAGCAGGUGCGAAAGCAGGUCAUAGUGAUCCGGUGGUUCUGAAUGGAAGGGCCAUCGCUCAACGGAUAAAAGGUACUCCGGGGAUAACAGGCUGAUACCGCCCAAGAGUUCAUAUCGACGGCGGUGUUUGGCACCUCGAUGUCGGCUCAUCACAUCCUGGGGCUGAAGUAGGUCCCAAGGGUAUGGCUGUUCGCCAUUUAAAGUGGUACGCGAGCUGGGUUUAGAACGUCGUGAGACAGUUCGGUCCCUAUCUGCCGUGGGCGCUGGAGAACUGAGGGGGGCUGCUCCUAGUACGAGAGGACCGGAGUGGACGCAUCACUGGUGUUCGGGUUGUCAUGCCAAUGGCACUGCCCGGUAGCUAAAUGCGGAAGAGAUAAGUGCUGAAAGCAUCUAAGCACGAAACUUGCCCCGAGAUGAGUUCU
This 1564-nucleotide ribosomal RNA is filed under the name Salmonella enterica. RNAcentral's name for it is "bacterial LSU rRNA". It matches the Rfam family "Bacterial large subunit ribosomal RNA", at positions 1265 to 2812 of the family's 2925-position model. Lineage: Bacteria; Pseudomonadati; Pseudomonadota; Gammaproteobacteria; Enterobacterales; Enterobacteriaceae. The record is from RNAcentral.